UUUCGAAAGGAACGCUAAUACCGCAUACGUCCUACGGGAGAAAGUGGGGGAUCUUCGGACCUCACGCUAUCAGAUGAGCCUAGGUCGGAUUAGCUAGUUGGUGAGGUAAAGGCUCACCAAGGCGACGAUCCGUAACUGGUCUGAGAGGAUGAUCAGUCACACUGGAACUGAGACACGGUCCAGACUCCUACGGGAGGCAGCAGUGGGGAAUAUUGGACAAUGGGCGAAAGCCUGAUCCAGCCAUGCCGCGUGUGUGAAGAAGGUCUUCGGAUUGUAAAGCACUUUAAGUUGGGAGGAAGGGCAGUAAGCUAAUACCUUGCUGUUUUGACGUUACCGACAGAAUAAGCACCGGCUAACUUCGUGCCAGCAGCCGCGGUAAUACGAAGGGUGCAAGCGUUAAUCGGAAUUACUGGGCGUAAAGCGCGCGUAGGUGGUUCGUUAAGAUGGAUGUGAAAGCCCCGGGCUCAACCUGGGAACUGCAUCCGAAACUGGCGAGCUAGAGUAUGGCAGAGGGCGGUGGAAUUUCCUGUGUAGCGGUGAAAUGCGUAGAUUUAGGAAGGAACACCAGUGGCGUAGGCGACCAC
This 584-nucleotide ribosomal RNA is filed under the name Pseudomonas sp. Its description in RNAcentral is "bacterial SSU rRNA". It matches the Rfam family "Bacterial small subunit ribosomal RNA", at positions 149 to 728 of the family's 1533-position model. Lineage: Bacteria; Pseudomonadati; Pseudomonadota; Gammaproteobacteria; Pseudomonadales; Pseudomonadaceae. The record is from RNAcentral.